UGUGCUUGUUUCCAGCUCUGACUCCCAGCUGGAUUGUGGACUUGUGCUACUGAUAACUUGACUCUUGGCUGGAUCUUGGAGCUGUGUUAGAGCCCUGUCUCUAGACAAGCUUCUGCUGUUCCUGGCAUGGUCCAUCCCUUCUGCUGGUCUGUGACCGUUGUUGAACCAUGUUGCAGCCCUUGGCUCUGUCUGCCAUGUCCAGACCUGUGAGAUAGUGCCAUGGGUGAGGGCCCUCAGCUCCUGGGUUCCUAUCCGAAAGAAAGAAGCUGGACAUUGCUGUGUCCUGCAAAGACAAAGUUGGUGAAGGACCCUGAGGGCAAGCUGUGAAGUGCUGCAGUUCUGCGUAACUAGCUUAUAUUGCUGAAACCUGGCACAGAAUGUGAUUUACAGCCACAGCAAGAGCUUGCUUUGGUCUUUGCUACAAGCUUAAAGCACAUCUAGCUCUGCUUUCUUAACUUGGUACACAGCCCAGCAUGGGUGGGACUGAAGAUCAUAGGCUUGUAAGACAAAUGCAUUUAUUUCCUGAUACCUUGUUCCAGGCUCUGGGAGUUAAUGUUGUCUCUUUGGAGAGCCAUCACCUCUAAGAUUCUCUCCUUCCCUUGAAUGCAGAGAGAUGGAGCUCUCAUAAAGGAUUUGGCUGGAGGAACAAGGAAAAAGUACUGUGGCACCUGAUCCUGGUUUUCAGGAAAACAUCACUGAGCUAAAAAAAAAGACCCAAUUCAGGUUUGUAUUAUGGACAGACCAAAUAACACACAAACUGCAAAACUGAGACCUCUUCUGCUGUUUACCUGGCUCUUUUUGGGUGGGCAGAAUUAGCUGUGUAUUUUGUUCACUAAAAUCUGAAACAUACUGUAAUACAUGAAAAAAAUAAAUUUAAGUACUUGAAGAAAAUUACUGUACUUGAAAAGGGAACAUUGAGCACAUAUCUGAGGCUACGGAGCCUGCCUAUAUAGAGGUUUGCUGAGACCUUUGCAGGUCUAUAUAAAGCUGUAACACUUCCAACUGAAGGGGGACUGAGUGUGCCAGAUCAGUAAUGAAUGACUGGUGCUCUGCUGUCUUCUGAUUCCCCCAGCCUCUUCUGGUAUCUGAAAUGUCAAUAUUUUCUGGAAUGUCCUUUUGAAGCAUGUUUCUUCCUCAGUGCUGCAGUGCCCUCCAGUGCAUGGAGAACAAGCUUUAGCUUCUGUUACCAGGAAUCCAAAAUACAGACACCAUUUUAUAUCUGAUGUUAAGACUGAACUCUUAAUGAUAUUUCAGAUUACUUUUUACCUGGUUUCCAAAGUGUAAAGGCAGUUCAAUGGCAGCUAUGCCUAGCUACCUCAACCCAAUGCCCUUGGUCAGUGUGAUCAAGCCAGAGCAACUACCCUCAGAAAGCCAUCUCCUGAUUAGAAACCUCUCCCAGAAGCUGCAGGACACUAGUCAAGGGUCUCUGAAUCUGCCUGCACCACAGACACAAAACAAGUCUGUGGCUCUCUGCCUGUUGAAUGAAUCUGGCUGUCUCCAAAACCUGGGGCAUAUGUCUGCUGCAGAGCUGUGACAUGUCCCCCCCAAUUUCUCUACCACCUCAGCCUGCUGAAGAUUUUCUUCUAUGGGGCAUCUCUUCUGAUGCUCAAAAGCUCAAAAUACUUUCCACAACAAACAAGCUACUUGAGGUGAAUGAUUGUCAACUCGGUCAUAUCCCAAGAGUGUUUAAAAUGCUCGCCUAACUAAAGUAGUAGCAGUGGCAUGUGGGCUGUAGUUCAAGGAUUGUGUUCAGACUAGUAAAGUUUUACUAAACAGUGAGGUGGCAGGUUAUUUUAAUGAAAAACCUAGGUAAGGAUGAGUGAGAAAGUCAUAGAGCAAGUCUGAGGUUUUUUUACAGUUACACUUUUGCUGUUGUAUAUCUCUAGUACAGUUUAUUAAAUUCCACCUAAAACAUUGACAGUGCUUCCCUAAAUACAAGUGAGGGAAUCUGUAAGUGCAAAGCAGCUCAAAACAAAUACCUGGUUAGAUUCCAAAAGCUGAGGGUGGGAUUUUCAACAGACUAAAUGAAUUCAGUUUCAAACUUCUGUCAAAUUACAGUGAGAGAUGCUCACAAAAAAAAAAAGAGUAUAUUCUGGUAAACUGUGUUGAAUGUGGAGAAUCCU
This is a long non-coding RNA of Columba livia (rock pigeon), 2123 nucleotides long. RefSeq lists it as uncharacterized. The record is from RefSeq and is a predicted model, not a curated record. NCBI's taxonomy places the organism in Eukaryota, Metazoa, Chordata, Aves, Columbiformes, Columbidae. The transcript has 3 exons.